Molecule: long non-coding RNA, 659 nt
Organism: Prunus dulcis (almond)
Lineage: Eukaryota; Viridiplantae; Streptophyta; Magnoliopsida; Rosales; Rosaceae
Exons: 2
Source: RefSeq, a predicted model, not a curated record
GCCGGGCUCGGGGGGGGAGGUGUUGAAGAAGAGGAGUUUGUUUGGAUGGUGAGAAAGUGUGGGAAAAGGCAAGAAAGUGGAGAUUUUGAGUUUGGGAUUGGGAGAAAUUAAGAGGGUUCCACUUGAGUGAGGCAGAAGUUAGGAAAAAAAAUGAGGCAUUUCGCUUUUCAUAGUGGGCAAUCAUUCAAGCAAUUGGUUAACUUUAGGUCUGAUGAUAAUGUUGAUCGGUCAUCUUCUGAAGCUCCUUGUUGAAGGCUUUUCAAUAUGGUCACCAUCUUCCUCGGGCAGCUUGACAGCCGUAUAAGUUCCCGCCCCAAAGAGUGCCCCGAGAAAUGGUGCAGUGAGGUAGACCCAUAUGGCUUUGUAGUUGUUUGCAGCUAUGGCUGGCCCUAAUGUUCUCACUGGGUUCAUGGAAGCUCCUGUUGUUUCCCUGCACAAUAGUCGAAAAUUAAAGAAAGUUUCAAGAUACCAUGCUGAAAUAGUACUAUUCUUGAGUAAUUCUUUGAGCUGUAUGACUUCCCUUUCAUAUUGACUUGCUGAAUUCAUUUUUCUACAUAGAAUUUAGAAUGUAUUUAAUUUAUCGUGCCUGUGAACUGUGUUCUUACUGUAUCUCAAGGACUUGGUAGAGGUCCUUUCAGAUAAAUAGACCCAUUCAUAUA